RNAcentral lists this long non-coding RNA (1193 nucleotides) under Citrus sinensis (sweet orange). RNAcentral describes it as "long non-coding RNA (CSIN_LNC002838)". Lineage: Eukaryota; Viridiplantae; Streptophyta; Magnoliopsida; Sapindales; Rutaceae. The record is from RNAcentral.
UCCUUUACCCUCUGAAAAUUAGAAAAGAUAACUCUCCCUCAUUAAUAGCCCGUCAACCACCAGGUGCACCAUAGUUUGUCGUCACUUGCCCAACACUCAUCAGCACUCAUCAACAGUCAUCGUCUCUCAUCGCCUCUCUCGUAGUCGGUCACAAUUAGCAAUCAUCAGCAGUCUAUCAUCAGCUUGUUGCAAGCUUACAGCUUCCAUCUUGUCAGUGUCGAAAUCAAAGGUAAAUUCUUUUUAAAUGUAAGAUUGUAGAGACCGUGAGAGAUUGUGAAACCCACGACUCAGUACUUUACAUGAAAUAUAAGAUAUCCAAAUCCUUUAAUAUAAAGCCGCUGGUUAUUUUUCUCUUUAUGUUUGAUUAAAUAAUAGUUUCUAAGUACUAAAUAAACAUCCCACCAUUUACAAAUUGUGGACUUUUAUUUGGUUUUUGAUAAAGAUAAUAACACUUACUAGUUAUCAUCAUGUGAUAUGUCAAGCUUAGUCAGUAAUCUGACUAACAACAUUUUGAAUGUAGCAUCAAUAGGCAUCGCUUGGUCAUUGGAAAAUUAGUGAGAUGAAAUUGAGGUGAAAAAUGCUCUGGGAACUUUUUUUUUUUUUUUUUUAAUGAAUCCUCACUUAAAGUGAGGAGAUUUUAUUGAAACAAAAUAAAAACGACGCUCUGGGAAUUUAAAUGCUUAGAUUAUUCUAUCUAUUAGGCCAGUGAUUUCUUGAGUUUUCACUUACUAUGUGAUGUUUAGUUGAUUUAAGUUUCUCUUCCAAAGAUAAUAAGAUAUUUCAGGUGGGUUCCUAGAACAGUCGUGACAUCUAAUUGAUAUUUAAAUAAUUGAUAAUGUUUGUGGUUGUAUCUGAACUGAUUUACUUUAUCAUUUUCUUCACUUGUUUCUCUUCACAAAAUAGACUAAUUUGUUUCAUCAUUUUCUAUCUGUUGAUGUUUGUUUGGUGGAGGUUAAUAGUUGUUGAUGUAACUCUUGCUGCUUAUGCUGAGGGUUGACGGAGAAAUUGAGAUGGAUCUAUGUAUUAUGUUGUUAUUCAAUAAUUUGUAUUGUAUUUGUUCGCCACUCUUUUUUUUUUUUUAAGACUUAAGUUAUGCUUAGAUUUUGUCCUUUUGACUUGAUUUAAGCAUUUAUUAUUUUCUUAAUUUAAAUUUGCUAAUCCAAACUAUAAUUGUAUCUGAAAUUAUAAUUCAU